RNAcentral lists this ribosomal RNA (253 nucleotides) under uncultured bacterium. RNAcentral describes it as "partial 16S ribosomal RNA". It matches the Rfam family "Bacterial small subunit ribosomal RNA", at positions 524 to 776 of the family's 1533-position model. The record is from RNAcentral.
UACGGAGGGGGCUAGCGUUGUUCGGAAUUACUGGGCGUAAAGCGCGCGUAGGCGGCUUUGUAAGUUAGAGGUGAAAGCCCGGAGCUCAACUCCGGAAUUGCCUUUAAGACUGCAUCGCUAGAAUCAUGGAGAGGUGAGUGGAAUUCCGAGUGUAGAGGUGAGAUUCGUAGAUAUUCGGAAGAACACCAGUGGCGAAGGCGACCACCUGGCUCGGUACUGACGCUGAGGCGCGACAGCGUGGGGAGCAAACAGG